UCAGACGAUGCGUCAUGCAUAUCAAUAAGCGGAGGAAAAGAAACUAACAAGGAUUCCCCUAGUAACGGCGAGUGAAGCGGGAAGAGCUCAAAUUUGAAAUCUUAAAGGGUUUCCCUUUACGAAUUGUAGUUUAAAGAAGGGUUUUCUGUUGAGGUUUUGGUAAAAGUUCUUAGGAAUAGGACAUCAUAGAGGGUGAGAAUCCCGUAUUUGACCUUUACUUUCAACUUUGUGAUGCACUUUCAAAGAGUCGGAUUGUUUGGGAAUGCAGUCCAAAAUGGGUGGUAAAUUCCAUCUAAAGCUAAAUAUUGGCGAGAGACCGAUAGCGAACAAGUACCGUGAGGGAAAGAUGAAAAGAACUUUGAAAAGAGAGUUAAACAGUACGUGAAAUUGUCAAAAGGGAAGCGUUUGACACCAGUGUUGUUUUUCUGAAAAUCAAUUAAAGAACUGUUUAUGCUAAGCUGUUUAGACUUUAUCAGCUAUCUGUUUAGUUUUGAGCUUUUCUUUAAUGCACUUUUCAGUUAACAAGUCAACAUCAAUUUCUUUUGCUGUAAAAAAGCUUGAGGAAGGUGGCUUGAGAUUCGUCUUAAGUGUUUAUAGCCUCUUGCCUAUGCAGUCGGAGAGAUUGAGGUCUGCAGCGUAGAUCCUUCGGGGCUAAAUGCAUUUGUGCUAAGUUAUAGCAUUUUAUAGACAACUUGUUGACUAUGAUUUGUCUUGUAGCUUACUCGCUUAUGUUAUUUUACCUACGCUUAGGAUGUUGAAGAUGUAGCACAUCAU
RNAcentral lists this ribosomal RNA (774 nucleotides) under uncultured Neocallimastigales. RNAcentral describes it as "partial large subunit ribosomal RNA". It matches the Rfam family "Eukaryotic large subunit ribosomal RNA", at positions 18 to 635 of the family's 3401-position model. The record is from RNAcentral. Lineage: Eukaryota; Fungi; Neocallimastigomycota; Neocallimastigomycetes; Neocallimastigales.